GUAGGCAACCUGCCUUGCACAGAGGGAUAACACCGGGAAACUGGUGCUAAUACCACACGAUAUCAUAACAAGGCAUCUUGAAAUGAUCAAAGGAGAAAUCCGGUGCAAGAUGGGCCUGCGUCCGAUUAGUUAGUUGGUGAGGUAACGGCUCACCAAGGCGACGAUCGGUAGCCGAACUGAGAGGUUGAUCGGCCACAUUGGGACUGAGACACGGCCCAGACUCCUACGGGAGGCAGCAGUGGGGAAUAUUGCGCAACGGGGGGAACCCUGACGCAGCAACGCCGCGUGAAGGAAGAAGGCCUUCGGGUUGUAAACUUUUUUGAUUGGGGAAGAAAAAAAUGACGGUACCCAAGGAACAAGCCACGGCUAACUACGUGCCAGCAGCCGCGGUAAUACGUAGGUGGCGAGCGUUGUCCGGAAUUACUGGGUGUAAAGGGCGUGUAGGCGGGAUUGUAAGUCAGAUGUGAAAUUCCAGGGCUUAACUCUGGAGGUGCAUCUGAAACUAUAAUUCUUGAGUGCUGGAGAGGAAAGCGGAAUUCCUAGUGUAGCGGUGAAAUGCGUAGAUAUUAGGAAGAACACCAGUGGCGAAGGCGGCUUUCUGGACAGUAACUGACGCUGAGGCGCGAAAGCGUGGGGAGCAAACAGGAUUAGAUACCCUGGUAGUCCACGCUGUAAACGAUGGAUACUAGGUGUAGGAGGUAUCGACCCCUUCUGUGCCGGAGUUAACACAAUAAGUAUCCCACCUGGGGAGUACGGCCGCAAGGCUGAAACUCAAAGGAAUUGACGGGGGCCCGCACAAGCAGUGGAGUAUGUGGUUUAAUUCGAAGCAACGCGAAGAACCUUACCAGGGCUUGACAUCCCUCGGAUAACAUAGAGAUAUGUUAGUCCUUCGGGACGAGGAGACAGGUGGUGCAUGGUUGUCGUCAGCUCGUGUCGUGAGAUGUUGGGUUAAGUCCCCGCAACGAGCGCACCCCCUAUGGUUAGUGGCCAUCAUUAAGUAGGGCACUCUAACGAGACGGCCGGUGACAAAUCGGAGGAAGGUGGGGAGGACGUCAAAUCAUCAUUCCCCUUAUCUCGUGGGCUACACACGUUUUACAAGGGUCACUUCAAAGGGAAGCAAUACCGCAAGGAGGAGCAUAAUCCCCAAAGG
RNAcentral lists this ribosomal RNA (1150 nucleotides) under uncultured organism. RNAcentral describes it as "bacterial SSU rRNA". It matches the Rfam family "Bacterial small subunit ribosomal RNA", at positions 117 to 1282 of the family's 1533-position model. The record is from RNAcentral.